Molecule: ribosomal RNA, 393 nt
Filed under: Arenicola marina (lugworm)
Lineage: Eukaryota; Metazoa; Annelida; Polychaeta; Arenicolidae
Description: 12S ribosomal RNA
Rfam family: Microsporidia small subunit ribosomal RNA
Source: RNAcentral
CUUUAUUCUUGGCCAUAAAAUAUCAUCCCGGGUACUACGAUCUCAUGAUUCAAACCCAAAGACCUUGGCGGUGCUUUAACCUCCCAGGGGAACCUGUCCAUUAAACCGAUAACCCACGUAUACCUGACCCCUUUUUGAAUUUUUCAGCCUGUAUAUUGCCGCCGCCAGCUUACCCUGAAAAGGAUUUUAUGGUAACCACAACGACUACCCGCCAAAACGUCAGGUCGAAAUGCAGCCAAUAAAGGGGAUGAGAUGGGUUACUUUUAUAAUAUAACAUCAUGACUACUACAUGAAAAACAGUAAUCUAGAAGGACUUGGAAGUAAGAGAAGAUCAUAUUGCCUCUCUGAAUAAGGAUAACUAAAGCGUGUACACAUCGCCCGUCGCUCUCGUCG